Molecule: small nuclear RNA, 107 nt
Organism: Gorilla gorilla gorilla (western lowland gorilla)
Lineage: Eukaryota; Metazoa; Chordata; Mammalia; Primates; Hominidae
Source: Ensembl
GUGCUCUUUUCGGUAGCACAUGUACUAAAAUUGGAACGAUACAGUGAAGAUUAGCAUGGCCCCUGCGCAAAGAUAACAUGCAAAUUCGUGAUGCAUCCCAUAUUCUU